RNAcentral lists this long non-coding RNA (429 nucleotides) under Elaeis guineensis (African oil palm). RNAcentral describes it as "long non-coding RNA (EGUI_LNC077604)". Lineage: Eukaryota; Viridiplantae; Streptophyta; Magnoliopsida; Arecales; Arecaceae. The record is from RNAcentral.
UGUUUGUUGAACCAACCUCUGUGGGCUUAAUCUAGUUUAAAAAGAGAGGGUUUACAAUAAGAGCAUUGAUUAGUCCAAGAGUUCAUAAAUAAUAUCCAUACUUGUAGGGUGCUACACUACUCAAGAACCUAAAAAAAGUUGGUUUCUUCCACAAGCUCCUAAAACAAAAUAAGUAUUAUUUUAGCUGUCGAUAAUAUAACACUUACAGAUUAUGUUAAUGUUCUCCAACUUGAAGUUAGCGUGGGAUUUAAAAAAAAAUCAUGUAAUCUUAGACCAUGAUGUUAAUUUAGAAAUAAAAUAAAUCAUUCUUUUUUGAAUAGAUCUGGUGUGCUCUGGCGUAUCUAUUUACCAGCCAAGGAACAGACAAAUGCAUCAUAUUUUAUGACUAGAAAACAAUAUAUCGUUGUAAAGUGUUCUUUUUCAACAACC